This 539-nucleotide long non-coding RNA is filed under the name Oncorhynchus kisutch (coho salmon). Its description in RNAcentral is "lncRNA (ENSOKIG00005038851.1)". Lineage: Eukaryota; Metazoa; Chordata; Actinopteri; Salmoniformes; Salmonidae. The record is from RNAcentral.
CGAAAACACAGAAACAAACCUUGUAAUGUUGAUGAGUAAUACAUCCUGAGACUGGGCAUUAUGUUCCAAGUCACGACUGUGAAUAUUUUACUCAAACAACAGAAAUUUCUCCCUCUCUCUCUUGCCGUCUUCCUUGUUCUUUCCAUCCUCUGAAGGUGCCAUCACCGUCACCGUCAUCACCCAGAAAUCUUCCUCUAGAGGGCAGACUGCAGCGUAGCGGCAGUGUCCAGGAGAUUCUCUCUUCUUCCAAGAGCAAACUCUUUAGACAGACCAGCUUUCAACAGCAGAAGGAAUUGGAGCAGGAGCUGAGUGAGCAGAGAGGCCUGACCAAGGCUAUCGCCCAGCAGGGGAGUAGAGGUCGUCUCCACAGCCAGGCCCAAAAGGAUCAACCUGAGCCAUCCACACGAGUUCCUGUUGAACCUGAAGGAGGGGGGGAGGCAGGGGUCCAAAGGAAGUGGACACACCUUCACAACCAGAUUCUGGCCUUGGAGCAGACUGCACAGCAAGGUCCUUCUGAUGUAAGCAGCUCCCACUCUUAA